RNAcentral lists this ribosomal RNA (1316 nucleotides) under Staphylococcus aureus. RNAcentral describes it as "bacterial SSU rRNA". It matches the Rfam family "Bacterial small subunit ribosomal RNA", at positions 220 to 1526 of the family's 1533-position model. The record is from RNAcentral. Lineage: Bacteria; Bacillati; Bacillota; Bacilli; Caryophanales; Staphylococcaceae.
UAUAGAUGGAUCCGCGCUGCAUUAGCUAGUUGGUAAGGUAACGGCUUACCAAGGCAACGAUGCAUAGCCGACCUGAGAGGGUGAUCGGCCACACUGGAACUGAGACACGGUCCAGACUCCUACGGGAGGCAGCAGUAGGGAAUCUUCCGCAAUGGGCGAAAGCCUGACGGAGCAACGCCGCGUGAGUGAUGAAGGUCUUCGGAUCGUAAAACUCUGUUAUUAGGGAAGAACAUAUGUGUAAGUAACUGUGCACAUCUUGACGGUACCUAAUCAGAAAGCCACGGCUAACUACGUGCCAGCAGCCGCGGUAAUACGUAGGUGGCAAGCGUUAUCCGGAAUUAUUGGGCGUAAAGCGCGCGUAGGCGGUUUUUUAAGUCUGAUGUGAAAGCCCACGGCUCAACCGUGGAGGGUCAUUGGAAACUGGAAAACUUGAGUGCAGAAGAGGAAAGUGGAAUUCCAUGUGUAGCGGUGAAAUGCGCAGAGAUAUGGAGGAACACCAGUGGCGAAGGCGACUUUCUGGUCUGUAACUGACGCUGAUGUGCGAAAGCGUGGGGAUCAAACAGGAUUAGAUACCCUGGUAGUCCACGCCGUAAACGAUGAGUGCUAAGUGUUAGGGGGUUUCCGCCCCUUAGUGCUGCAGCUAACGCAUUAAGCACUCCGCCUGGGGAGUACGACCGCAAGGUUGAAACUCAAAGGAAUUGACGGGGACCCGCACAAGCGGUGGAGCAUGUGGUUUAAUUCGAAGCAACGCGAAGAACCUUACCAAAUCUUGACAUCCUUUGACAACUCUAGAGAUAGAGCCUUCCCCUUCGGGGGACAAAGUGACAGGUGGUGCAUGGUUGUCGUCAGCUCGUGUCGUGAGAUGUUGGGUUAAGUCCCGCAACGAGCGCAACCCUUAAGCUUAGUUGCCAUCAUUAAGUUGGGCACUCUAAGUUGACUGCCGGUGACAAACCGGAGGAAGGUGGGGAUGACGUCAAAUCAUCAUGCCCCUUAUGAUUUGGGCUACACACGUGCUACAAUGGACAAUACAAAGGGCAGCGAAACCGCGAGGUCAAGCAAAUCCCAUAAAGUUGUUCUCAGUUCGGAUUGUAGUCUGCAACUCGACUACAUGAAGCUGGAAUCGCUAGUAAUCGUAGAUCAGCAUGCUACGGUGAAUACGUUCCCGGGUCUUGUACACACCGCCCGUCACACCACGAGAGUUUGUAACACCCGAAGCCGGUGGAGUAACCUUUUAGGAGCUAGCCGUCGAAGGUGGGACAAAUGAUUGGGGUGAAGUCGUAACAAGGUAGCCGUAUCGGAAGGUGCGGCUGGAUCAC